This 180-nucleotide ribosomal RNA is filed under the name Vibrio ichthyoenteri. Its description in RNAcentral is "partial 23S ribosomal RNA". It matches the Rfam family "Bacterial large subunit ribosomal RNA", at positions 1 to 176 of the family's 2925-position model. Lineage: Bacteria; Pseudomonadati; Pseudomonadota; Gammaproteobacteria; Vibrionales; Vibrionaceae. The record is from RNAcentral.
GUUGUAUGGUUAAGUGACUAAGCGUACACGGUGGAUGCCUUGGCAGUCAGAGGCGAUGAAGGACGUAUUAACUUGCGAUAAGCCCAGAUUAGGUAGUAAAAACCAUUUGAGUCUGGGAUUUCCGAAUGGGGAAACCCACUUGCAUAAGCAAGUAUCGUUAUGUGAAUACAUAGCAUAACG